CCUACGGGAGGCAGCAGUGAGGAAUAUUGGUCAAUGGGCGGAAGCCUGAACCAGCCAAGUAGCGUGCAGGAUGACGGCCCUACGGGUUGUAACCUGCUUUUAUACGGGAAUAACGCGCCUUACGUGUAGGGCUUUGCCUGUACCGUAUGAAUAAGGACCGGCUAAUUCCGUGCCAGCAGCCGCGGUAAUACGGAAGGUCCGGGCGUUAUCCGGAUUUAUUGGGUGUAAAGGGAGCGUAGGCCGCAUGUCAAGCGUGCUGUGAAAUGUCCGGGCUCAACCCGGGCCUUGCAGCGGGAACUGGCGUGCUUGAGUCCGCGGAAGGCAGGCGGAAU
Molecule: ribosomal RNA, 332 nt
Filed under: uncultured bacterium
Lineage: Bacteria
Description: partial 16S ribosomal RNA
Rfam family: Bacterial small subunit ribosomal RNA
Source: RNAcentral